GAUGAACGCUGGCGGCGUGCCUAAUACAUGCAAGUCGAGCGAACAGACGAGGAGCUUGCUCCUCUGACGUUAGCGGCGGACGGGUGAGUAACACGUGGAUAACCUACCUAUAAGACUGGGAUAACUUCGGGAAACCGGAGCUAAUACCGGAUAAUAUAUUGAACCGCAUGGUUCAAUAGUGAAAGACGGUUUUGCUGUCACUUAUAGAUGGAUCCGCGCCGCAUUAGCUAGUUGGUAAGGUAACGGCUUACCAAGGCAACGAUGCGUAGCCGACCUGAGAGGGGGAAAGGCAACAAGGGAACUGAGACACGGUCGAGAAGCCGACGGGAGGCAGAAGUGGGGAAUAUUGGAGAAUGGGCGAAAGCAUGAUCCAGAAAUACAGAGUGGGUGAAGAAGGCCUUAGGGUUGUAAAGCACGUUUGUUGGGAAAGAACAGAAGCAGAUGAAAACAUGGCUGGUCGGACGGGACCCAAAGAAAAAGCACCGGCUAACUUCGUG
RNAcentral lists this ribosomal RNA (497 nucleotides) under uncultured bacterium. RNAcentral's name for it is "partial 16S ribosomal RNA". It matches the Rfam family "Bacterial small subunit ribosomal RNA", at positions 28 to 507 of the family's 1533-position model. The record is from RNAcentral.